Molecule: ribosomal RNA, 492 nt
Filed under: uncultured bacterium
Lineage: Bacteria
Description: partial 16S ribosomal RNA
Rfam family: Bacterial small subunit ribosomal RNA
Source: RNAcentral
AUUGAACGCUGGCGGCAUGCUUUACACAUGCAAGUCGAACGGUAACAGGCCUUCGGGUGCUGACGAGUGGCGAACGGGUGAGUAAUGCAUCGGAACGUACCCAGAGGUGGGGGUUAACGCAGCGAAAGCUGUGCUAAUACCGCAUGUGAUCUGAGGAUGAAAGCGGGGGACCGAGCAGCAAUGUUUGGCCUCGCGCCUUUGGAGCGGCCGAUGUCGGAUUAGCUAGUUGGUGGGGUAAAGGCCUACCAAGGCGACGAUCCGUAGCUGGUCUGAGAGGACGACCAGCCACACUGGGACUGAGACACGGCCCAGACUCCUACGGGAGGCAGCAGUGGGGAAUUUUGGACAAUGGGCGCAAGCCUGAUCCAGCAAUGCCGCGUGCGGGAAGAAGGCCUUCGGGUUGUAAACCGCUUUUGGCAGGAACGAAACGGUGUCCGCUAAUACCGGGCGCUAAUGACGGUACCUGCAGAAUAAGCACCGGCUAACUACGUG